RNAcentral lists this long non-coding RNA (1531 nucleotides) under Vulpes vulpes (red fox). RNAcentral's name for it is "lncRNA (ENSVVUG00000000573.1)". Lineage: Eukaryota; Metazoa; Chordata; Mammalia; Carnivora; Canidae. The record is from RNAcentral.
AGUAUAUUUCAAUUGUAUAUCAAUAAAGUUGAUGAAAAGUAAACAGAUUAGAAACUCAAUUUACCUCUUCAUUGACUUUAGGCUCUUUUGGUCCUCCUCUUCCUGGAGAAAAUACAUGAAUGCCUUUGACUUUUGGAAUGGGAGCAGAGUUUUGAACUACAAAGAAAAACCUAAGUUCGUAUCUUCAAAUUUUGCACCCUUUAUUCUGAUGAAAGAUAGAGGUAAUAUGAGGAGAGACCCCUUUCCAAAGGUUUUUGAAUCAAAGAGCCAGAAAGUACUGAUCUAAUCUGUCACUCACCCUUUCUGAAGAAAUGAUGAGUACAUAAAGUAAGCAAGGGUACUUAUUUGGUGAAUUUCAUUCUCAACCUCUCCUGGCCUCCUCAUUCUUCCAAAGCUCUGAAAUCUCAACCCUCAAGAUACACACACACAUAUACAUGUAUACAUACAUGUGGAUAUAGCCUCACAUAUCCUGGAGAACCAUUUGGGUUAGCAAACUCCUCUUAUGGAGUACAAACACAACUUAUUACUCAAUAGUGGUUUCUUUCCAAAGGAGUCUGGAUUUGGAGGUUGAAAGAAAGAAGAACAGAGGAAAAAGAAAAAAAAUUGAGCUUUGUAUCAACAUGGAUCCAAUUUCUGCUCUCCUGUGUCCAUCCUUCCAUCUCCUUCUCUGCCUUUACUACAAGAACUCUGUCACACUACACUUGGAUAACUCUGGAAACUGGGCUGUAAACAGUUUGCAGAACUGGAGAGGUGGCAGACAGAGAAUUAUGAGGAGCUGGAGGAUGAAAAGGAGUCAAGAGAUGAUGAAAGGUUGGUGAAUGAUGGAGAAUUGGGAAAUGUGAAAUUGUUUGUUUUAUUUGUAGAGGAUGACAUAUUUCAAUGGAAAAGUCAUAGAAUCUGUGGUUAAGUUUGGGUAAAAUCUCAAAUGCUAGAGAUCCAACAUUAGGAUUAGCCUCCAGGAUUGAAGGUGGUGGCUCUUGGAAGCCACAGGAGAAGAAGGCUCUGAGCUCCUCAAGUAAAUUAGUAAAGUAAUUACCAUGCUGCUCAUUAAGGCCUUAGUACAAAGGUUAUUGAAUUAUUAGUAAUUUAUGGCAUGUAGCUUUAUAAUGCACUUAAAUCAUCUCUGGAAACUGUGUUUUUAAUGUUCUUGACUAUUUCCUUCUUGAUGGCAGUGGUGGUACUAUUUAUUUCUCAGGGUCUUUUUACCACACUUCAUACGGUGUUUGGCUCACAGAAGGCAUUUAAGGCAUGCUAAUUAACACUUCUUUCCACUGAAACUCGGGUUCUUCUUUCUGCCCGAAUUAUUUCUACUGUGUGUGCUUUCUCUGAGAAGAUUGUGAGCUUAUUGAAGGCAGGGACCAGGCCUUCUACUUACUUUUGCUUUCCUUUCAGGCUAGCAGAGUGGUAGGCCUAGAGGGGAGCUCAUUUAAUACUUGAUGAUGGAUUGAAUUAUUGGCUCAAAAUUUCCUUGAGGUUCUGACUGGGAAAUUAAAGCUUUAGUCUGUCUAAUAAAACAAAACAAAAACUGACA